UACUGUUAAGAAAUUCUAAAUGACGUGAUCGUUUGAUUUCUGAGGAGGAAGGAGAGGCUUGGUCCAAUUGAAAGAUUAAGCAAAAGGUUUAAUAAACAAUAUGAUGAAAAUGACAAGACAAAAACCAAAUGUUGCACUGCAGCUGACAGCGGACUGAAUCAUGCUUCUCCUUAUGGGAGUCACAUAAAAACAGUCUUGUGACAUGACAAAACAAUACACUGUAAACAGCGGUCUGCAGAACCUGUUUCCCUUGUGGGGUCACAGUUUGCAGCCCCGAAAUCACCUCUGUUUCAGAAUUAUAUUCCUGUGGAAUUGUGGGUCUCUGAUAUAAAGACACACCUCUGAUUUUUGACACCUUUAUUUGAGUUUCACUCCAGGUCACAGACAAAGGUCGUUUAUCAUGGUAGUGCCAAUUCUAUUCAACUUUACAGAGAUAUGCAUUUGCUUU
Sander lucioperca (pikeperch) is the source of this 448-nucleotide long non-coding RNA. RefSeq lists it as uncharacterized. The transcript has 3 exons. Lineage: Eukaryota; Metazoa; Chordata; Actinopteri; Perciformes; Percidae. The record is from RefSeq and is a predicted model, not a curated record.